RNAcentral lists this ribosomal RNA (253 nucleotides) under uncultured bacterium. RNAcentral describes it as "partial 16S ribosomal RNA". It matches the Rfam family "Bacterial small subunit ribosomal RNA", at positions 524 to 776 of the family's 1533-position model. The record is from RNAcentral.
UACGUAGGAUGCGAGCGUUGUUCGGAAUUACUGGGCGUAAAGAGUACGUAGGCGGUGAUGUAAGUCUGAUAUUAAAGCCAGUGGCUCAACCACUGUAGUGUAUCGGAGACUGCAUUGCUAGAGGGUAAUAGAGGAAAUCGGAAUUCUCAGUGUAGCGGUGAAAUGCGUAGAUAUUGGGAAGAACACCGGCGGCGAAAGCGGAUUUCUGGGUUACUACUGACGCUGAGGUACGAAAGCGUGGGGAGCAAACGGG